RNAcentral lists this ribosomal RNA (254 nucleotides) under uncultured bacterium. RNAcentral describes it as "partial 16S ribosomal RNA". It matches the Rfam family "Bacterial small subunit ribosomal RNA", at positions 524 to 776 of the family's 1533-position model. The record is from RNAcentral.
UACGUAGGCAGCGAGCGUUGUUCGGAGUUACUGGGCGUAAAGGGUGUGUAGGCGGUUGUUUAAGUUUGGUGUGAAAUCUCCCGGCUCAACUGGGAGGGUGCGCCGAAUACUGAAUGACUUCGAGUGCGGGAGAGGAAAGUGGAAUUCCUGGUGUAGCGGUGAAAUGCGUAGAUAUCAGGAGGAACACCGGUGGUGUAGACGGCUUUCUGGACCGUAACUGACGCUGAGACGCGAAAGCGUGGGUAGCAAACAGG